GUGACUCGCUGCAGCAGCACAUAUACCCAACUGGGGACAAUAUAGAGAAGGUUAACAUGGUCCCUGAGUGUGGACAACGUGCAAAGUUGUGAAGCAUUCCAUAUUUUA
This is a small nuclear RNA of Vulpes vulpes (red fox), 108 nucleotides long. The record is from Ensembl. NCBI's taxonomy places the organism in Eukaryota, Metazoa, Chordata, Mammalia, Carnivora, Canidae.